AGUGUGAAUGGAGUAUGAAUGUGUGUGGUAGGCGACAGCUGUGUGUGUACGUCCGGGUGCGUGUGUGCGUGUGUACAUGUGAGCGUGUGUGCACGUGAGUUAGAGCCUGAGUGUCCCCUGCGUGGGUUAGUGUGUGCGCCCGCCCGGUGCCCUCCGUCUUGGGAGUCUGGGCUGCUGCUCCGCGGGCUCUGGAGCCGGCGCUCCCCACGAGCCCGGACUCUCCGCCGCGCCCGGGAGCUGCGCAAUCGGCUGCUAAGACGCCGGCGCCACCGGCUGGGCCCUGUUCUCCCCUCUCUUUUCUACAGUCUUACCCGCAGCUGACAGGGUUCGAAAGAGCAUGAAACGGAGGAGACGUUACAGCAACGUGUCAGCUGAAAUGAUGGGCGUAGACGCACGUCAGCGGCGGAAAUGGUUUCUAUCAAAAUGAAAGUGUUUAGAGAUUUUCCUCAAGUUUCAAAUGAGGCGAAUCCCGUUUUCCGCGAUGCUGCAGCGCGCGGGUUUUAACCGCAGGGUCACGCGGAACGCCGCGCCGCGCGACUGUGCCUCGGUCUCUGCGCCCGGCUCUCCCUCCGGUCCGCAAGAGGAGGAAGGCCCGCGGCGUGCCGAGGUCAGCGGCGCGGAGCCACCAGGCGAGACGGUCACGGACGCCUGAACCGAGGUCACCGAGGCCACGGGGCCGGGAGGCCCUCAGCAGAGCCCGGGGGCUCCGCACCUCAAGGCCGGCCAGGAAGAAACAGCAGCAGGAGCCCAGGGCGCCCCGGGGAGCCCCCGACACGCGGGCCGAGCGCCCAGAGCGGCCCAGGCCCUCGCGAGGAGACCGGCCUCCCCAGGGCGGGGCUUCCGACUCGGGCGCCCGUGAGCCCCGGAGGCGGCGCGAAGGGGCAGAGUCCGCGUUUCUAACCAGCCCCCGGGUGGGCGGUGGCCCGCGCGGCACGGUGGGCGCGAGCGCCGUGGGCUGGGGCCGGCCUGGGCUUUCAGGGCGAGGGCUUUCCGCGCCGGCCCCAGCCCACCCGGCCCCGCUGCGCGCCCCUCACGCUGCAGCCUGGGAACCUGGGCCGGGAGCUGCGGGCCGCUCCGGGGAAGCGGGCCUGACCUCCCCUCCCCACCGCCGCCCCUGCGGUGAGAUCCUGCCUGCCGGGGCGCAGGGGCCCGCGGUUGGGCUCCGGGAGACGGAAGAGGCCCCACAGCUCGGGCCCCACGCAGUGGACGCUGCCACUUAAUUUUGGCGUAAUUGAUGUCAAGGCGGGUGCCCGGGCCCCCAGUGAAAUGCCUCAUGAACUCGCUGCGAGGAACGGCGCUCCACGCGGUGCACGGUGGCCAAUCAGAGCUGCCGCUUCUGAUGGAGGCUGAGCCGGCUGGGGAGGCGUCUUGGCCAAGAACCAGCCCCAGCCUCGCUCAGGGCCCCAACCCGCAGACCAUGUAAUUAAGCUGCGUUCUGCAGCCAGGGCAAGAGUCUCAGCUCUGAACAUCUUCCCGCACCUCUGAGGAGCCAGGCCUGGAAACCCUCUAAAAUAGAUUUUUCUGCCUCAAGACAGAAGAUGGGCGUUCCAGGCAGAGAAGAGCUGCCCAGUCACGUGCUCUGCUCCACCUGGUCAGAGACCCUUGACCUUUAGAAGACUGGACCUGAGGGCGUGGCUGGUGGACCUGAGGGCGUGGAUGGUGGACCUGGCCACCCAGCUGUAGCUUUUUGGGUUCCUGUGGUCCCAUUUCUUGGGUCAAUCUCACACCUGGCAGCUCCCAGGAAGACACCCCCAGGCCCCUCACACUCCUGGGGGCAGCUGGAAUUGGCUUCAGGGCGGGACCAGGGGCCCCAUGGGUGUUUGGAAUCCCUGAUCUGGGUCAGGCACCGGCAGCAGGAUUCCAGCCUGGCCUGGACUCUGGUGUGUCCCGUUUGAAGAAACCCCGCCCUGUGAAAGUUCAAGUUUAGCAUCCAAUGACCCAUUUAAGAGGUUUGCUGAGCCACGUCACAGGAGGGUCUGGGUGCAAACGGAGGUGGCAACACACAGAGCGAGCCUUGAGCACCCAGGUUACCCCCAGGACCUCCAGUCUGGCUUGGGGGCUCCUGCUGUCCUGUGGAGCAGCCCCCUGGGAUCAGGGACGGGGCUGAGCUGGAGAGUGUGCAGGAUUGAUUAAUGAUGUCUGCCACGGUCAGGCCAACUGCUGUGUUUCUGGGGCCCACAAGCUAAAAAUGGUUGGAAAAAAAUCAAAACAUUAAUAUUUGUGACAUAUGAGAAUGCUAUGAAAGUCAACUUUGCUAUCCAUAAAUAAAGUUUU
Molecule: long non-coding RNA, 2274 nt
Filed under: Homo sapiens (human)
Lineage: Eukaryota; Metazoa; Chordata; Mammalia; Primates; Hominidae
Description: non-protein coding HAR1A:6
Rfam family: Highly accelerated region 1A/1B (bases 339-456)
Source: RNAcentral